AGGGAGCUGAGUUCCCUCACAGAAGCUCGGCCGGCAGCAGACGCACGGAGUCCACGCCUCCGAGCGCUGGCCAGGCCGUCUGACCCUACAUUUGGACUGUGACGAGUACAGUUUGGACAGGGAGGGAGUGUCAGCGACUCACAUUCCCUUUCCGUUCCCCUUCCUCAUCCAAGGGCAUGAUCUAAUAGCCUCCUUGCACAGCUAGCACACCGGGCUUACUCUAAUAAUAGACCUCGGCCGAAUCACCGGGGGUUGUUACACGGAGUCCUCAGCUGUUUCCAUGACCCGCCCUCUGGAGACCUCCAGGAAUGCGCAGGGUAAUCAGUGACUUUAAUUUUAGCUACCAUGACGCGAAGGACGCUCUACGGAUCUCUGCUGACCUGUCCUGAGAUUGCAUGAUCUGAUGGGGAAGGAAUUUAGGACGAAAGCUCUGGAAUGGAUCCCUUUGCAAUAGCACUCCCAGAACCUGGACUCCACGGUGACACAUUUCUGACCCUGGAGACUAUGACAGUUUCCUGAGGAUAGCAGCACAAUCACUUGGAAGGAAGUUGGACCCUUGAAUGAUGCUUCCAUGAGGUGACAGGUCCUCCACCACAUGCUCCCGCCAGGAUGUACUAUGGUACCACCACAAGCCUGAUGGCAUUGUGGCCAAGUGACCAUGGACUGAAAUGUCUGAAAC
Long non-coding RNA from Heterocephalus glaber (naked mole-rat), 679 nucleotides. RefSeq lists it as uncharacterized. The record is from RefSeq and is a predicted model, not a curated record. Lineage: Eukaryota; Metazoa; Chordata; Mammalia; Rodentia; Bathyergidae.